CGCCGUUCUCCGUUUCCUACUCUGCUUCGUCGCAACGAUCCCAGUCUCCUUCGCGUGGAGAUUCGUCCCGAGUCGACUCGGUAAACACAUCUACUCAGCUGCUUCUGGAGCCCUCCUCUCUUACCUCUCCUUUGGCUUCUCGUCGAAUCUUCACUUCCUCGUUCCCAUGACCAUUGGCUACGCUUCGAUGGCGAUAUAUAGACCAAUGUGUGGAUUCAUCACUUUCUUCCUCGGUUUCGCCUAUCUCAUUGGUUGUCAUGUGUUUUAUAUGAGUGGGGAUGCUUGGAAAGAAGGAGGCAUUGACUCUACUGGUAAACUCUUUUUGUAGAUUUAUGAUGGUGGAACCACAUUAUGCUUGUCGAUUGUUUCUUUUAGCUGAGUUUGAUUUGUAUGUUUUUAGGAGCUUUGAUGGUGUUGACGUUGAAAGUGAUAUCGUGUUCUAUAAACUACAACGAUGGGAUGUUGAAGGAAGAGACUCUCCGUGAGGCUCAGAGGAAGAACCGUUUGGUUCGGAUGCCUUCUCUCAUUGAGUACUUUGGUUACUGCCUUUGCUGCGGAAGCCACUUCGCUGGCCCUGUCUUCGAAAUGAAAGACUAUCUUGAAUGGACCGAAGAGAAAGGAGUAAGCUUUCGGUUCUCGAUCUUGAUUCAUCAAUUCUUGAUUUCUUUAUUUACGGAUUCUUGAUUCUUGAUUCUUGAUUCUUGAUUUACGAACUCUUUAUUUUUUCGGUUCUUGAUUCUUGGUUUAUUAGUUCUUGAUUUAUCAUUUUUGAUUCUUGAUUUAUCGGUUAUUGAUUAUUGAUUUGUUGGUUCUCGUUUGUUUGUUGUUUGCUUGAUUUGUUGGUUAGAUUUGGGCUGUUACUUCUGGGAAAGGGAAGAGACCAUCGCCUUACGGAGCAACACUUCGAGCUAUAUUACAAGCUGGGAUCUGUAUGGCUCUGUAUCUCUACUUAGUCCCUCAGUUCCCAUUAACCCGGUUCACUGAGCCAGUGUACCAUGAAUGGGGUUUCUGGAGAAGAUUCGGUUACCAAUACAUAGUUCCAUGGCGGCCUCGAUCGGCGUAUCGGUCGCCGUUCUCCGUUUCCUACUCUGCUUCGUCGCAACGAUCCCAGUCUCCUUCGCGUGGAGAUUCGUCCCGAGUCGACUCGGUAAACACAUCUACUCAGCUGCUUCUGGAGCCCUCCUCUCUUACCUCUCCUUUGGCUUCUCGUCGAAUCUUCACUUCCUCGUUCCCAUGACCAUUGGCUACGCUUCGAUGGCGAUAUAUAGACCAAUGUGUGGAUUCAUCACUUUCUUCCUCGGUUUCGCCUAUCUCAU
Molecule: long non-coding RNA, 1316 nt
Filed under: Brassica napus (rape)
Lineage: Eukaryota; Viridiplantae; Streptophyta; Magnoliopsida; Brassicales; Brassicaceae
Description: long non-coding RNA (BNAP_LNC022694)
Source: RNAcentral